This 411-nucleotide long non-coding RNA is filed under the name Androctonus crassicauda. The record is from RNAcentral. Lineage: Eukaryota; Metazoa; Arthropoda; Arachnida; Scorpiones; Buthidae.
UGGAGAAAUGGUCUGAAGGACUCCGAUUUAUUCAAAGUAAGAAGAAUCGAGCUCUCCAUUCAGUAAUUAAGACAAGUCCUUAUGAGGCUAUAUUCCGAUCAGUGCAAAAGAUUGGACUUGCAGAUUUCUCUCUUUCCAGUAAUUUAUACUCGUCUACAAACAGAAAAAGAAUUGGAACAACUCCUUUCUUCAAUAAAAGGCAAUGAUAAAGACAACAGUGGUGAAGAAAAAGGCAACAAACAACCUAGUGGAGACAAAAAUAGGCCUCAAUCUGGAAAUAUUUUACAAAAAACAGAAAAUAUUGAUGACAAUAAACUUUAUUGUGAUUUGUGAAAAAAAAACUUCUGGAGCUCACAAGUGUUCAGGGUGUCAUCAAUAUGUUCACGUUAUUUGCGGAGAAAGUGAUGCUCC